RNAcentral lists this long non-coding RNA (4452 nucleotides) under Brassica napus (rape). RNAcentral describes it as "long non-coding RNA (BNAP_LNC022653)". Lineage: Eukaryota; Viridiplantae; Streptophyta; Magnoliopsida; Brassicales; Brassicaceae. The record is from RNAcentral.
GUGAAGACGGAUCUAGACAGAAAGAGAUGAGGUUGAUUAAGGUUGGGUUAUGUUUGCUCUGUCUCUUUAACGUCUCUCUAGGACUCUUUCUCUUGCUCUCCUCUUGGCUCCGGAAGGAAACCUAGUCCAUAUAGAUAUCUCCCCAUCCACCCAUGUUCAUGGUAAGAAGAACGAUAUUCUGUAAUUGUUUCUUCGUAUAGUCACUUACACUAAGAUGUACAUUUUUAGAUUAUUCUGAUACGGUUGAUAUCUACAUUUACAAGGGUACAAGAAACACAUAUGAAUGUUGUAUAUUAUUUUUACAUGUUUUUCUAGAUUGAUAUGAAGGUUGACUGGUUGAUGUUAUAUUCCAAUCUAUGUAAAUUCCUUAGUAGUCUCGUGGGGCAAACGUGUCGAACGAAGUCAUGAGGCUACCGGAUUGUAAGCUGUAAGUACAACGUACCAAUCACAAUCCCAGUUACGAGAUUAUAACUAUUUUUUUUUUGCAAAUGCGAGAUUAUAACUAUUGAUUAGAGGAAUUGAAAACUUAUAUCAGUUGUAGUAGAUUUUUUUCUAAAUAUAUAUAUUUCAUCCAACCAAUGGAUGAUUAAUAAGAGAGGACCAUUGUAAUACCCCCGUCUUAAAAAAAAAAAAAAAAACCCUAAUUUCGGUUUAUGGAAUUUCUCGGGGAAGCCGAAGGUUCGGGAAAUUUUUAUCCUUAAGGUUAAGGUUAGUCUGGAAUCUAUUAAAAAUAUUGAGCUCAUCAGAACGGGAGCGGAAGAAUAUUCAGGAUUGAUCGCGGGACGAAAAUUCACCAAAAGGGCCGAAAUCGCGCAAAUCGAACGAGAAGCUCGAGGUGGCUUGAUCUAAUGGAUCAGGACGUUGUCUCAACCAUUAAACCUGCUGAGUGUCAACACAAUAAGGAGGUGUAGACAUGCAUGAAGCAGUUCCAUGCAGCUCGACACACAGAAGCACGAGGUGUCGCAGUACCUGCGAUCUGCGCAUGCGAACCGACAUGCAGAGGCCCGUGUGUCGCGAUGCAUGAACACCAGACAUGCUGAAGGGCAAGUGGACGUGGAGGUAUCUUCUGGCUCGGCCAGGAAAUGUAUAUUUAUUUGUUUCCUAGGCGACAGUCAUGAGACCUGCGACCAUGAUUGGCACAGAGGACAGAAUCUUGAACCCCUGGGCAAUGUUCGUUAAAAAAUAUGGUUUCUUCCCGCUCAUAGGUGGUGGCACCAACAAGUAUGUCCUAAACCUUUGUCUAGUUCUUUUCACCGGUUUUCUUACCCUAACCAUAACUUAAUUGCAGAUUCCAGCCCGUAUAUGUGGUUGAUGUUGCUGCUGCAAUCGUUGCAGCUCUCAAGGAUGAUGGCUCCAGCAUGGGGAAAACCUAUGAAUUAGGUGGUCCAGAUGUCUUUACCCCUGGAAUCAAAGAGUCGAGCCACAUCGCUUAAUCACUGUGAGUCACGGUUAACUGAUUGUUAACGAAUUAUUAAUGCAGGUUCUCUUGCAAGUGUUUCCUUGCAGGCGGAGAUCAUGUUUGAUAUGAUUCGUGAAUGGCCUCGAUAUGUGAAGCUUCCAUUUCCAAUUGCUAAGGUAACAGAUCAAAUCGUUCGCCGUCUAGGGUAAAAACUCCUAAGGAUUUUUAUGUGCACCUUUGUCAGAGAAAGCGUUGCGUAUUAGAACUAAAGAAGCCUAUAUUGUUAAGGAUCUUUGUUUUUGUUUUUCAAAUGAUACUAAUUUUGUAUAUGUCACAAUCUGUUCUAGGCAAUGGCGGGUCCUCGGGAUUUCAUGGUGAACAAGGUCCCGUUCCCUUUACCAUCCCCACAGAUCUUCAAUCUGGAUCAAAUCAAUGCGCUUACAACCGAUACACUUGUAUCUGACAAGGGUUAGUCAUUUCUUCACAGAAGUGAAAUAAGUUCUCUUUGCAUGAUCUGUUUGAGUGUCUCACUCCUUUGUUAUUUCGACACAAUGGCUAUUUUCAGCCUUGACUUUUCAGGAUUUGGACCUUGUCCCUCAUAAAUUGAAGGGAUAUCCAGUCGAGUUUCUUAUCCAGUAUCGCAAGGGUGGUCCUAAUUUCGGUUCUACCGUCAGUGAAAAGAUACCAACAGACUUCUACAAUUGAUGAUGCUUCUACUCAAAGGUCGUUUUCCUGGACUAAUUUUGAUUCAUGCAAGUCUCACAGUGAAAUGGCAGAAACUAGAUAUGGUAUUUUGAUGCCUUUCAUUUUCUUCUGUCAAAUAAUAAAAGGGUUUCCUCUUCUCUUUGUUGUGUUCUGAAAGAAAGUGUAACCCGUCAACAUGAUUAUAAGUUAGAGAGGAGACGUUUUCUGUCUUUUUUGAAUGGGAGAUUUAUUCCCCGUAUGAUUAUGUAGUUUCUGGUUCGUUUGAAACUUCAUGUGCUACUUUGCUCUUGAGUCUUGAAUAUAACUAAGCCCAUGUGCUUCCGUUUUUGCAUUCCAUAUUAGUAUAACUAGGGAUGUUAACAUGGGUAUUGCCUAUGGGUUUACCCAAACCCACUAAUGAUGGGUUGGGUUUUUACCCAUCUAAGAUUAAUUGGGUCAACCAUGAGUAUUUUAAUUUUAAAACUCAUAUUUAUGUUGAGUAACAAAAGGCUAAUGGUGUACCCGUGGGUUUUCAAUUAUAUAUAUAGAUUUACACCAUUUUAACUAAAAUAUAUAAAAUUUGUAAAAACGUUCUUUUUCGCCAGAACCAAAAAAUGAAUUUUUUCACCAAAAUCGAAAACAGGUUUUCUGCCAAAAUCUAACAAAUUUUCCCGCCAAAACCGUAAAAACAAGUUUUUUCGCCAAAACCGCAAAAAACGAGUUUUUCCGCCAAAACCAGAAAGAUUAUUUUUCCCGCAAACCGCAAAAAUCGAGUUUUCUAACCAAAACCACAAAAAAAAAAUUUACCGACCAAAAACCGCAAAAAUAAAAUUUUCCGCUAAAACCACAAAAACAACUUAACAAGUUUUCUCCAUAAAUGAGUUUUCCUGUCAAAACGAUGUUUACUGCUAAAACCGCAAAAUGAGUUUUCCGGUUAAAAUUGCAAAAUAAUUUUUUUUUCCGAAAAAGCGAGUUUUCCACCAAAAUCGUAAACGAGUUUUUGCGCUAAAACAAGUUUUCUAUAAAAUUGCAAAAUCUUGUUUAUAUAUUAAAGCUCACAUUAAUGAUAUUAAUAUUUUACAUGAUCUUCAGAGUAAAUAAGAUAAUACUUUGGGUACCCACGGGUAAACCUAUACCACAUUGGGUUACUUUUUUGGUUUGGAUUUCAACAUUGAUGUUUCUAGGUUGUUGCAGGUUGGGUAUAAACUGGGUUGGAUUAUUUGUGGGUUAGGUUGGGCCCAAGUUAUUUUACCCUAGGUUAACAUCCCUAAGUAUAACUAAAGCCCUAAGAAAACUUAAGUACACCUCUUAUAUGGUUAAGAGGGUAUUUUCUACUCGGUUAUCUAUACUAUUAAAUCAGAAUCCCAAUCCUGCCAAUAGUUUUUGAAGUUAUUUACAAGAGAAUGUCAUUUCCUAAUUUGAAUUUUUUUUAAUUAAUUCGCUUACUAAAUUUAUAACCUAACAUUUAAAAUAAAAAUUCGACCCGUAAUUAAUUCGCUUGCUUUAUAUAUAACUUCUCAUAUUUAUAUUCAAAAUAUUUAUAACAGUCAUAUUGAUAACCGGCCAUAUUUACUAUAUAUAAGAUCUUUAUUUAAAAAGAAACAAAUCCCGCGCUUUAAAAGAGCGGGUCAAAAUCUAGUUUGCGGAUUAUGAAACGUUAAAUACCGGUCUUAGUUUUGAGGGUGGGUAAUGAAUCUUAAUUAUGCAAAUCUUAGAAUAUAGCACUUUGCUUCUGCUUGUGGAAAAGAAGUAAAGAAUUUUAGGGAACCUCGAGAACCAAGCAACGCAUUUAGAGCUAAAUAUCAAAUCACCAAAGGAAUAGGACAGUCUCAAUUUUAGCUUCAUCCAAACAAAAUGGAAAGCGAAGGAGACGAUUAUCCGGGGCCUGAAUCCGGCAUUGAAGGAAUCAACUUGAACGGGAGAAAUGUAGGGGCCGUGAUGGUGGCGCCUAGGGAUGUAGACGUAGCAAGUCAGAGUGGAUGCAGGGUCAACAUAUACGUGAACAGCAACGUUCAAGCGACUUGUGGGUCAGCUCUGUUUGGUAGCAAGGUCAAGCUAAGAGACCCUGGUGUUCAUCUCCAUAUCGAAGACGUUAAAAUCCCCCGCGAAGACGGAUCUAGACAGAAAGAGAUGAGGUUGAUUAAGGUUGGGUUAUGUUUGCUCUGUCUCUUUAACGUCUCUCUAGGACUCUUUCUCUUGCUCUCCUCUUGGCUCCGGAAGUAAACCUAGUCCAUAUAGAUAUCUCCCCAUCCACCCAUGUUCAUGGUAAGAAGAACGAUAUUCUGUAAUUGUUUCUUCGUAUAGUCACUUACACUAAGAUGUACAUUUUUAGAUUAUUCUGAUACGGUUGAUAUCUACAUUUACAAGGG